This 346-nucleotide ribosomal RNA is filed under the name uncultured eukaryote. Its description in RNAcentral is "SSU rRNA". It matches the Rfam family "Eukaryotic small subunit ribosomal RNA", at positions 594 to 945 of the family's 1831-position model. The record is from RNAcentral.
AUAGCGUAUAUUAAAGUUGUUGCAGUUAAAAAGCUCGUAGUUGAACCUUGAGCCUGGCUGGCCGGUCCGCCUCACCGCGUGCACUGGUCCGGCCGGGUUUUUCCUUCUGGGGAGCCGCAUGCCCUUCAUUGGGUGUGUCGGGGAACCAGGACUUUUACUUUGAAAAAAUUAGAGUGUUCAAAGCAGGCAUUUGCUCGGAUACAUUAGCAUGGAAUAAUAGAAUAGGACGUGUGGUUCUAUUUUGUUGGUUUCUAGGACCACCGUAAUGAUUAAUAGGGAUAGUCGGGGGCAUCAGUAUUCAAUUGUCAGAGGUGAAAUUCUUGGAUUAAUUGAAGACUAACUACUG